AGAACAUAACAAAUAUAUAAAGAGUGGAGGAGGAAGAAAAAGAAGGAAUAAAACCCUUUAGAUUAAAUAGAGGUGUUAACAGCAACUGGAUCUUGUCGCCUUUGGGGGGCUGUGACUGUGCCCUUCAAAGUGAAUUUGGAGGUUCUACACUC
Manis javanica (Malayan pangolin) is the source of this 152-nucleotide small nucleolar RNA. RefSeq annotates it as small nucleolar RNA SNORA68. NCBI's taxonomy places the organism in Eukaryota, Metazoa, Chordata, Mammalia, Pholidota, Manidae. The record is from RefSeq and is a predicted model, not a curated record.